RNAcentral lists this ribosomal RNA (1018 nucleotides) under Klebsiella pneumoniae. RNAcentral describes it as "bacterial SSU rRNA". It matches the Rfam family "Bacterial small subunit ribosomal RNA", at positions 49 to 1058 of the family's 1533-position model. Lineage: Bacteria; Pseudomonadati; Pseudomonadota; Gammaproteobacteria; Enterobacterales; Enterobacteriaceae. The record is from RNAcentral.
UAACACAUGCAAGUCGAGCGGUAGCACAGAGAGCUUGCUCUCGGGUGACGAGCGGCGGACGGGUGAGUAAUGUCUGGGAAACUGCCUGAUGGAGGGGGAUAACUACUGGAAACGGUAGCUAAUACCGCAUAACGUCGCAAGACCAAAGUGGGGGACCUUCGGGCCUCAUGCCAUCAGAUGUGCCCAGAUGGGAUUAGCUAGUAGGUGGGGUAACGGCUCACCUAGGCGACGAUCCCUAGCUGGUCUGAGAGGAUGACCAGCCACACUGGAACUGAGACACGGUCCAGACUCCUACGGGAGGCAGCAGUGGGGAAUAUUGCACAAUGGGCGCAAGCCUGAUGCAGCCAUGCCGCGUGUGUGAAGAAGGCCUUCGGGUUGUAAAGCACUUUCAGCGGGGAGGAAGGCGGUAAGGUUAAUAACCUUGUCGAUUGACGUUACCCGCAGAAGAAGCACCGGCUAACUCCGUGCCAGCAGCCGCGGUAAUACGGAGGGUGCAAGCGUUAAUCGGAAUUACUGGGCGUAAAGCGCACGCAGGCGGUCUGUCAAGUCGGAUGUGAAAUCCCCGGGCUCAACCUGGGAACUGCAUUCGAAACUGGCAGGCUAGAGUCUUGUAGAGGGGGGUAGAAUUCCAGGUGUAGCGGUGAAAUGCGUAGAGAUCUGGAGGAAUACCGGUGGCGAAGGCGGCCCCCUGGACAAAGACUGACGCUCAGGUGCGAAAGCGUGGGGAGCAAACAGGAUUAGAUACCCUGGUAGUCCACGCCGUAAACGAUGUCGAUUUGGAGGUUGUGCCCUUGAGGCGUGGCUUCCGGAGCUAACGCGUUAAAUCGACCGCCUGGGGAGUACGGCCGCAAGGUUAAAACUCAAAUGAAUUGACGGGGGCCCGCACAAGCGGUGGAGCAUGUGGUUUAAUUCGAUGCAACGCGAAGAACCUUACCUGGUCUUGACAUCCACAGAACUUUCCAGAGAUGGAUUGGUGCCUUCGGGAACUGUGAGACAGGUGCUGCAUGGCUGUCGUCAG